Molecule: ribosomal RNA, 253 nt
Filed under: uncultured bacterium
Lineage: Bacteria
Description: partial 16S ribosomal RNA
Rfam family: Bacterial small subunit ribosomal RNA
Source: RNAcentral
GACAGAGGCCUCAAGCGUUAGGCGGAAUCACUGGGCUUAAAGCGUGUGUAGGCGGAUCGUUAAGUACCUUGUGAAAUCCCACGGCUCACCCGUGGAACUGCUGGGUAUACUGGCGAUCUUGGGCCAACUAGGGGCAGCUGGAACAAGCGGUGGAGCGGUGAAAUGCGUAGAUAUCGCUUGGAACGCCGAAGGUGAAAACAGGCUGCUGGGGUUGUGCCGACGCUGAGACACGAAAGCCAGGGGAGCAAACGGG